AUACGGAGGGUGCAAGCGUUACUUGGAAUCACUGGGCGUAAAGCGCGCGCAGGCGGUCUUUUAAGUUGGAUGAGAAAGCCUACGGCUCAACCGUAGAACUGCAUCCAAAACUAUUAGACUAGAGUGUGGGAGAGGAAGAUGGAAUUAGUUGUGUAGGGGUAAAAUCCGUAGAGAUAACUAGGAAUACCAAAAGCGAAGGCAAUCUUCUGGAACACUACUGACGCUGAGGCGCGAAAGCGUGGGGAGCAAACAGGAUUAGAAACCCUAGUAGUCC
This 274-nucleotide ribosomal RNA is filed under the name uncultured bacterium. RNAcentral's name for it is "partial 16S ribosomal RNA". It matches the Rfam family "Bacterial small subunit ribosomal RNA", at positions 523 to 796 of the family's 1533-position model. The record is from RNAcentral.